Molecule: long non-coding RNA, 191 nt
Organism: Chelonia mydas (Green sea turtle)
Lineage: Eukaryota; Metazoa; Chordata; Testudines; Cheloniidae
Exons: 2
Source: RefSeq, a predicted model, not a curated record
UCUUUUGUUUUAGCUUGUGAAUUUUCCCUGUGCUAAGAGGGAGGUUUAUCCCUGUUUUUUGUAACUUUAAAGUUUUGCCUCGAGGGGAAUCCUCCGUGUUUUGAAUCUUAUUACUCUGUAAAAUUACCUUCCAUCCUGAUUUUACAGAGGUGAUUCUUUUACCUUUUCUUUAAUUAAAAUUCUUCUUUUAA